This 71-nucleotide transfer RNA is filed under the name bacterium. RNAcentral's name for it is "tRNA-Pro". It matches the Rfam family "tRNA". Rfam says of the family: Transfer RNA (tRNA) molecules are approximately 80 nucleotides in length. The record is from RNAcentral.
CGGAGUAUAGUAUAGUGGUAGUAUACACGCUUCGGGUGCGUGAGGUCUCGGUUCGAUUCCGAGUACUCCGA